RNAcentral lists this ribosomal RNA (427 nucleotides) under uncultured bacterium. RNAcentral's name for it is "bacterial SSU rRNA". It matches the Rfam family "Bacterial small subunit ribosomal RNA", at positions 355 to 773 of the family's 1533-position model. The record is from RNAcentral.
UAGGGAAUUGUUCGCAAUGGGCGCAAGCCUGACGACGCAACGCCGCGUGGAGGAUGAAGAUCUUCGGGUCGUAAACUCCUUCCGAUUGGGACGAACUUCUUGGGGGUGAAUAGCCUCUGAGGUUGACGGUACCGAGAGAAGAAGCGCCGGCUAACUACGUGCCAGCAGCCGCGGUAAUACGUAGGGCGCAAGCGUUGUCCGGAAUUAUUGGGCGUAAAGCGCUCGUAGGCGGCUUGUCACGUCGGGUGUGAAAGCCCGGGGCUUAACCCCGGGUCUGCAUUCGAUACGGGCUAGCUAGAGUGUGGUAGGGGAGAUCGGAAUUCCUGGUGUAGCGGUGAAAUGCGCAGAUAUCAGGAGGAACACCGGUGGCGAAGGCGGAUCUCUGGGCCAUUACUGACGCUGAGGAGCGAAAGCGUGGGGAGCGAAC